AGAGACGGAAAUGCUGUCGUCACUUAGUACUUUAAAAAGUGCAGGAAUUUGAGGCCCUUUCCUUCCGGAUCAUGUGAACUAGCUAGAGAUUUCAGGCAUAUCGUUAGACUACUAAUCCCUGCUGCGUGGUGUGUUCCGCGGCCUUGUCCGGGAGGGCUGCCUCAGAUCUGCGGGAAAGGUUCCGGGCAAAAUCCGACAGGCGUAGGAAAGCGGGAAAGGAGGACCCCGGCGCUGGCGCGGGGAAGCGAGCUGUAGCAGUCAAGGCGCAUUCCCACCUUGUGUGGACGCUGGUUACCGUGGAUCUGUCCCCGUCUCUUGCAGAUGACUUCACAUUUGUAAAGAUACGCCAUUGAUCGCACGGAAAUGUACGAUAGCAUUUGUUAGGCCUCUAUCGAAGGGCUUACCGUGUACGCACUGUUGACCAGGACUCUGAAAAUGAAUUGAAAUAAGAGGUGGGCUGAGUUCCCUGGAGCUCCAUCAGACAGGACUGUGAAGUGAUACUCAAAGCAAUUAGAGACGGCCCGUUGAUGGUCGCUAACGAAGGACCAAAUUCUACAUGGACAACUUUUGACCGUGGGGACUGUGGGCUAGCCCAGAAGAGGAAAGAACGGUGUAGGUUCGCGCAAAAAAUAGAACACGAGCUAGUUUCCCCUAUGUGGAUUUAAAUGCCAGCCAUCUCAGCUCCGCCCCUUACUAACUCCAUCCCUUGGGCAAUAUUUCAUCCUCUCCACCUCAGUUUUCUUGUAAGUAAAAUGGAGAUGAUAAACGCACUUACAGAAUUAUUAUAUGAAGCACUUAGGACAGCAAGUGCCCAGGAAAUGUUAGCCAUUAUUAUUUACAAAUCACUUUAUCCUAAAUUCUCUCACUUUCCUGAGUCCAUUAGGAUAGAUAUCAGCCGCAUUUGAACAAUACAGCAAGUGAGGCUCGGAGACAUUAGGCAAUUUGCAUUCUUUCACAUAUCCAAAACAUUGCCAAAAUGUUGUCCAAAAUAUUGUAUAGGAUAUAUAGGACAACAGGGGUAUAUAGGAGUAUGUCUGCACACUUUUGUAAUCAUUCAUUACUAUCAAUUCUUUAAAAUUACGACAAUUAGGUGAAAAAAUGUUGCUGUUAUAUUUAUUUUGUAAUGAGGAUGAACAACUUUUCACAUGUAUAAAUGUGUAUGUUUCCCUUCUGUGAGGUGGCCUGUUCAUGUUCUUUGCCUAUUUCUAUGGAAUAUCUUGUAGGAUUUUAAAGCAAAGAAUAAAAUGAUCACACUGAUGUUUAAAGAAAACAAGGACAGUGUGGAGUAGGGAUGAUUAGAGGAGUGGAAGCAGUUAGAUUUCAGCCAUAAUCCUGUAGAGAGGUGAGUAAUUAGAAUGGGAAAGACCAUUACUUUGGAAAGUAAUAGAGAAGUAGGAAUCUGGCAUGAUUUUCAUGUUUCUAUUUGCCAGGGCAGAUAAUGCAGAAAAAAGAGCAGCUUUGGCAAGGUAGAUGGAGAAUCUAGACUUGGGACACUUUUGGCUUAAUGCGCCUGUGAGAAAUGCAAAUGCCAUGUACACUUAGAAUUCAAACAAGAGGUUUAGGUUAAAAAUUUGUGUUUCAUCAAUUCUAAUAUGCAUAUUUUCCCACAUUUAAAAAUCUCUGAAAUAGGGAUAUAUCUUACAUUUGAUUAUAUAUUUCAUAAUUAUUUAGCAGUAGGUUUUUUUCUUAGUGCUACAUAAGAUGACUUUGUGUUUUACAACUCGUGGUAUCUUUGAUGAAAAAAGUAUAAUUCGUGGACUUUACCUUACUGGUGUUAGUUGGAGCUUAUUAAUACUAUCAUCUACACAGGAAGGUACCCAGAUUUGUGUACUGAAGGGGAGAAAAGGAAAUAUAAUAUCUUCCUUCUUGGCCUAAAGCAACUUGUACUUGUCAUUCAAACCCUAUGUGAAGAAAGGAGAACUUGUUUCUUAGUUAGGUUGAACUUCCAUCUCAUUCAAGGCUUUUACAGGUCCUCACUAAGUGAGACCAGUUGGUACAUACCUCUCCUCCACGUAAAAAUCAGGACUUCUCUGAAUGGAGCAUUUUUCAGCCAUCCAGGAUAUGCUCUGACAGCUGGCUUCAAUCACAGGGAACUGGUGGGGUCCAAGAGUUAUUAAUAUUUCAAGGAUUUAAGCCCAGUGGUUUUCAACCUUAGCUGCACAUUGGAAUUUCUGGAGCACUUCAAACUAAUACAGGUGCCUGAGUCCCAUAAUUGCAGAAUCUGUGUAGAACAUUCCUAGGCAUUGGUAUAUUUAAAAGCUCCUUGGUGAUUCUAAUGUUCAGACAAGGUAGAGAACCACUACUGCAGCACAAGACUGGGAGUGCCAGUCAAACUAUUGGCUAAGCAGGGAGUGAAGACUUUCUCAGAAGUGUACCCUUGGCCACAGUGCAUGCUUAUGGUCAGAGAUGACAAACUUCAGAGAUCAUUGGAGCUAAGAAAGAAAACAGCAUAUGGACAGUAACAUCAACAGCAUUCAGUUCACUAGAGAAAAGGACUGGAAAGCAAGAAAGAAGUGUAUGUCUGUGACAUUCACUUCAAGACACACCUCCAACAAUGGCCAAAUACGAGUCUGAGAAGCAAGAGCUCAAGUGUCCAAGGGCAGGAGAAGAUGGAUGUCCCAGUUCAAACAGAAAGUGAAAUCGUCCUUCUUCUGCCCUCAAAUGGAUUCAAUGACACUCGCUUACAUUGGGGCCCCCACCCAUAAGAUGGCGAACUUCCUGCUUCUCUUCCGGGUCCUAGGUUCCCGCCGGCACCACCUAAACCCCAAUCACCCCUCACCCCACUAAUCCCAGCACCUAGCCAAUAGCCACCAGCCCCGUAGAAGUGACACCACAAUCACCCCAUGCCCCUUCCUAUAUAACCCAGCACCUUUCCCUAAUAAAGCGGAA
Manis pentadactyla (Chinese pangolin) is the source of this 2889-nucleotide long non-coding RNA. RefSeq lists it as uncharacterized. NCBI's taxonomy places the organism in Eukaryota, Metazoa, Chordata, Mammalia, Pholidota, Manidae. The record is from RefSeq and is a predicted model, not a curated record. The transcript has 3 exons.